Molecule: ribosomal RNA, 253 nt
Filed under: uncultured bacterium
Lineage: Bacteria
Description: partial 16S ribosomal RNA
Rfam family: Bacterial small subunit ribosomal RNA
Source: RNAcentral
UACAGAGGGUGCGAGCGUUGUCCGGAAUCACUGGGCGUAAAGGGCGCGUAGGCGGCCUGAUAAGUAGGGGGUGAAAUCUUGCGGCUCAACCGCAAGGCUGCCUUCUAAACUGUCAGGCUGGAGCACGGUAGAGGCAGAUGGAAUUCCCGGUGUAGCGGUGGAAUGCGUAGAGAUCGGGAAGAACACCGGUGGCGAAGGCGGGUCUCUGGGCCGUAACUGACGCUGAGGAGCGAAAGCAUGGGGAGCGAACAGG